RNAcentral lists this transfer RNA (94 nucleotides) under Armatimonadota bacterium. RNAcentral's name for it is "Armatimonadetes bacterium (activated sludge metagenome) tRNA-Sec". It matches the Rfam family "Selenocysteine transfer RNA". Lineage: Bacteria; Bacillati; Armatimonadota. The record is from RNAcentral.
GGGAGUGGAUCGGUGCUGGUGUGUCGCUCGGUCUUCAAAACCGAUGUGGUCCGACAACGGGCUUGGUAGGUUCGAUUCCUACCCAUUCCCGCCA